AGUCUGCAACCCGACUACAUGAAGCUGGAAUCGCUAGUAAUCGCGGAUCAGAAUGCCGCGGUGAAUACGUUCCCGGGUCUUGUACACACCGCCCGUCACACCAUGGGAGUCGGAAAUGCCCGAAGUCUGUGACCCAACCUGAGAGGGAGGGAGCAGCCGAAGGCAGGUCUGAUGACUGGGGUGAAGUCGUAACAAGGUACC
Molecule: ribosomal RNA, 201 nt
Filed under: uncultured bacterium
Lineage: Bacteria
Description: partial 16S ribosomal RNA
Rfam family: Bacterial small subunit ribosomal RNA
Source: RNAcentral